UACGUAGGUGGCAAGCGUUGUCCGGAAUUAUUGGGCGUAAAGCGCGCGCAGGCGGUUUCUUAAGUCUGAUGUGAAAGCCCCCGGCUCAACCGGGGAGGGUCAUUGGAAACUGGGAAACUUGAGUGCAGAAGAGGAAAGUGGAAUUCCCGGUGUAGCAGUGAAAUGCGUAGAGAUCGGGAGGAACAUCAGUUGCGAAGGCGGCUCUCUGGACCAGCACUGACACUGAGGCACGAAAGCGUGGGGAGCAAACAGG
Molecule: ribosomal RNA, 253 nt
Filed under: uncultured bacterium
Lineage: Bacteria
Description: partial 16S ribosomal RNA
Rfam family: Bacterial small subunit ribosomal RNA
Source: RNAcentral